RNAcentral lists this long non-coding RNA (262 nucleotides) under Hordeum vulgare. RNAcentral's name for it is "long non-coding RNA (HVUL_LNC014312)". The record is from RNAcentral. Lineage: Eukaryota; Viridiplantae; Streptophyta; Magnoliopsida; Poales; Poaceae.
CUCAUUUAACAACUCAUAUAACCCAUACUCAUUUAUCUAGAAUAUUAUCAGUAGCUAAAUAUCAUACAAAAUCACUAAUAAUAAUCCAGUUGACGUCUCACGGUGCAGGCGGUGGUAACCCAAAGAUAAGGAACCAUCACCGAAUCAUAGCUCGAGUGAUGUCCCUGGAGAACCUGCUAGGUAUUGGAGAACCUGGCAUCCUACGCACCCAUGUAGCGAUAGACGUGCUCAUCCUACUCCCUGACACGAUGACGUACCACCU